This 253-nucleotide ribosomal RNA is filed under the name uncultured bacterium. Its description in RNAcentral is "partial 16S ribosomal RNA". It matches the Rfam family "Bacterial small subunit ribosomal RNA", at positions 524 to 776 of the family's 1533-position model. The record is from RNAcentral.
UACAGAGGUGGCAAGCGUUGUUCGGAUUUACUGGGCGUAAAGGGUGCGUAGGCGGCCUCGCAUGUCGGAUGUGAAAUCCCACGGAUCAUCUGUGGAACGGCAUUCGAAACUGCGGGGCUAGAGUGCGGGAGAGGAAGGUGGAAUUCUUGGUGUAGCGGUGAAAUGCGUUGAUAUCAAGAGGAACGCCGGUGGUGAAGACGACCUUCUGGAACGCAACUGACGCUGAGGCACGAAAGCUAGGGGAGCAAACAGG